RNAcentral lists this ribosomal RNA (1446 nucleotides) under uncultured marine bacterium. RNAcentral describes it as "bacterial SSU rRNA". It matches the Rfam family "Bacterial small subunit ribosomal RNA". The record is from RNAcentral.
AGAGUUUGAUCAUGGCUCAGGAUGAACGCUGGCGGCGUGCUUAACACAUGCAAGUCGAACGAACCUUCGAGUUAGUGGCGGACGGGUGAGUAACGCGUGAGAAUCUGCCCUCAGGAGGGGGAUAACGGCUGGAAACGGCCGCUAAUACCCCAUAUGCCGCGAGGUGAAAUGAAUUUCGCCUGAGGAUGAGCUCGCGUCUGAUUAGCUAGUUGGUGGGGUAAAGGCCUACCAAGGCAUCGAUCAGUAGCUGGUCUGAGAGGAUGAUCAGCCACACUGGGACUGAGACACGGCCCAGACUCCUACGGGAGGCAGCAGUGGGGAAUUUUCCGCAAUGGGCGAAAGCCUGACGGAGCAACGCCGCGUGAGGGAUGAAGGCCUCUGGGCUGUAAACCUCUUUUAUCAAGGAAGAAGAUCUGACGGUACUUGAUGAAUAAGCCACGGCUAAUUCCGUGCCAGCAGCCGCGGUAAUACGGGAGUGGCAAGCGUUAUCCGGAAUUAUUGGGCGUAAAGCGUCCGCAGGCGGUCUUGUAAGUCUGUUGUUAAAGCGUGGAGCUUAACUCCAUUUCAGCAAUGGAAACUGUAAGACUAGAGUGUGGUAGGGGCAGAGGGAAUUCCCGGUGUAGCGGUGAAAUGCGUAGAUAUCGGGAAGAACACCAGUGGCGAAGGCGCUCUGCUGGGCCAUAACUGACGCUCAUGGACGAAAGCCAGGGGAGCGAAAGGGAUUAGAUACCCCUGUAGUCCUGGCCGUAAACGAUGAACACUAGGUGUCGGGGGAAUCGACCCCCUCGGUGUCGUAGCCAACGCGUUAAGUGUUCCGCCUGGGGAGUACGCACGCAAGUGUGAAACUCAAAGGAAUUGACGGGGGCCCGCACAAGCGGUGGAGUAUGUGGUUUAAUUCGAUGCAACGCGAAGAACCUUACCAGGGUUUGACAUCCUGCGGAUCUCUUGGAAACGAGAGAGUGCCUUCGGGAACGCAGUGACAGGUGGUGCAUGGCUGUCGUCAGCUCGUGUCGUGAGAUGUUGGGUUAAGUCCCGCAACGAGCGCAACCCACGUCGUUAGUUGCCAGCAUUUAGUUGGGCACUCUAGCGAGACCGCCGGUGAUAAACCGGAGGAAGGUGUGGAUGACGUCAAGUCAUCAUGCCCCUUACAUCCUGGGCUACACACGUACUACAAUGCUACGGACAAAGGGCAGCAAACUCGCGAGAGCUAGCAAAUCCCAUAAACCGUGGCUCAGUUCAGAUCGUAGGCUGCAACUCGCCUACGUGAAGGAGGAAUCGCUAGUAAUCGCAGGUCAGCAUACUGCGGUGAAUACGUUCCCGGGCCUUGUACACACCGCCCGUCACACCAUGGAAGUUGGCCACGCCCGAAGCCGUUACUCCAACCCUUGUGGAGGAGGAUGUCGAAGGUGGGGCUGAUGACUGGGGUGAAGUCGUAACAAGGUAACC